This 30-nucleotide non-coding RNA is filed under the name Homo sapiens (human). Lineage: Eukaryota; Metazoa; Chordata; Mammalia; Primates; Hominidae. The record is from RNAcentral.
UGGCAGCUGUGCUAUGUGGUCUAUGCAGAU